GGAUAUGAGGGCAAUCUGGAUGCAGCAUCUGUCACCUCAUUGAUUGCCAGGGUUGAUGUGACCAAUAGCACUGGCUUGGGGGGUGCCUCCCUCUUCCUCAACAACCCAUGCAUAUCCCCCCAGAACUGACACUUUGUUUUUGAGACAUGGUUUGUACGUAGCUUUGGUGUCUGUCCUGGAGUUCUGUAGAUCAGGCUGAUCUCAGAUUCACAGAGAUCUGCCUGCUUCU
RNAcentral lists this small nuclear RNA (229 nucleotides) under Mesocricetus auratus (golden hamster). Its description in RNAcentral is "7SK RNA (ENSMAUG00000007542.1)". It matches the Rfam family "7SK RNA". Rfam says of the family: 7SK was discovered as an abundant small nuclear RNA in the mid-70s but a possible function has only recently been suggested. Two independent studies have found that 7SK RNA binds the CDK9/cyclin T complex (known as elongation factor P-TEFb). P-TEFb activates transcription by phosphorylating the C-terminal domain of RNA polymerase II. The record is from RNAcentral. Lineage: Eukaryota; Metazoa; Chordata; Mammalia; Rodentia; Cricetidae.